AAAAGGGAAAAAAAAAAAAAAGAGCAAGGGGAAACUGACCCAGCAUCGGAGCCCAGCUUCUCCCUCCAUCUAAUCCUACCUUCUUCCCCUUCAUCCUGCAAGUGCUGAUCCCAUCCCAGGAAGGAUCCUUAAUUAACCUCUUGCAUGCUGGUGAGUUCUGCUUCCCAGAGAUCCCACCUACAGCUCCACCGAGAGCUGAGUCGUCUGAGAGAGCAGAUGCUGUGGUGGGAUUCUUGGGGCGAUUCACCCACCUCACUUGCUUGGCAACAGUGGUAGGUAGGGUGCUCCAGUUACAAGGUAACAAUGCAAUUGUUAAAACUUUCACCUUUGGUGAAUUGGGAUGGUUUACUUGUAGAAGGAAGCACAAUGACACCUGAGAAAGAUCAGGGAAAGGCCAAAUUGGUGGAUGAAACUAGGUGGUUAUUGCUAAAUUUGACUAACACUUUGAAAAAUGAUAACCAGGAGUUCCCAUUGUGGCUCAUCAGGUUAAAAACCCGACUAGUAUCCAUGACGAUGAGGGUUCGAUCCCUGGCCCUGCUCAGUGGGUUAAGGAUAUAGCAUUGCUGUGGCUGUUGGGUCAGCAGCUGCAGCUCUGUUUCGACCCCUAGCCCGGGAACUUCCACAUGCUGCAGGUGCAGCCGUAAAAAGAAGAAAAAAAAGAUAACCAAAGGCUGAGAGCAAUCAAGGGCUAAGUGUGAAAGCUGGAGGUCCUGUCGUGGCACACAAGGAGAUUCCUGAGUCCUGCAGAAAGAGAGCAGACAAAGUGGAGGAGCUCAGAGCAGCGAAGUUCCUUCAACCUAGGUGGCUUGGGAUCAAGGCCAUGCUCUGGGAGAGCAUGUCCUGACAUUUCAGACGGGACCUCUGAGUCGAUAAACGCCACAGCUGAAAUCCCUAGAUUGCCUUGAACCCUCUGAGCCUACAGAAGCAGCCCAUUCUUCCCUAAUAAAGGCUAAUAAGACCCUAUUCCUAGAAGAAAUGUGGAGGUUUCUGCUGCCAUAGACAUUAUGCAGCCCCUCAGGAUCUGCCCCCACCUUCCCCUCCAGCCACUAGACCUAUCAUGAGGAGUCAGGUCACACCAGGACUGGGCUUGAUAAGGAAGGGAAGGGACUCUAGCCCACAGGUACUGGCAGGAGUCAGGAGAGCACAGGUGGACUGGGGUCUGAUGGGGGAGCCUGAUGAGAGAUGCAUCAGGUUGGAAUGAUUGAUGAACUUAAUGUGACAGCACGUUCCUCCCUGGAUGCAAGAUUCAACAUCCCAGCAAGGACCACAGGAGACGGUGCCAAAAAGCUUCUAGGAUGGCUCCUGGAAGCACGGAAGGAGUCAUGGCUCAGACUUGUAGAAAUGCCAGCAUUUUGGAGUAGGGUGGUGGAAAGAGGAAUUAAAGGGCUCUGUGAAGUGGGCGUGCUGGGCUGACUGUCCUAAAGCCCCCAGGCAGAGGAAACCGGAAGCCGGUGGAGGCCUCUGUUCCGGUAGGGACGGAGCGCUGAGAGUGCGCAUGCGUCGCCGAGACGGCGGGCGACAGACCGCCCGUGGGUCCAGCUGCAGGUAGGAGGGUCUGUCAGGGCACCAGGGUCCCUAACAGCAGCGAGGGCAAGAGAACCCCAAACCAUGGAGGGCAGGUGGUGAUAGUUACACGUCCAAAGGGAGGUGGAUGCCAUUACUAGCAUGAGCGGUCGGUCAGGUCAGGGUGGCCCCAAGUGGCCUGGCCUACAGCGCGUCUUGGAGGACAAGGUAAUCCCUGGGGGCAAGGGAGAUGGGCAUCCAACAGAUGUUCUGGACAAUCAAAGAAAUCAAGAAGGGAUAAUCGGGAGCCUGAGGGCAAUCGUCCCAACCAAAAAAAAAAAUGCCGUGCUUCCUUGCCCGGUUUCUGGAGGAGCGCCUGUUUUCAGACCAGGAACCCAGUGACUAAGGGAGAAAUCAAGCCCCCGGGGAGAAGCCUGUAACAGCAAAGCAAGUCUAUCUGGAGGGGCACGCCAGAAUCCUGGAGGAAUGGCUCCCUGGACAUCUAUGAAAAAAUGGAGCCCAGUCAUGGCAGGAAUGGUUGUGUCAGAUAGUUCCUGCACCACCAGAUCCCCCUUCUGUAAGAAAGCACUUAUUCCCCCAGCCUCUGGGAGUGUUGCCUGCAGAAAGCCUGUAGCCAUCAGCUCCCAUCAGACAAUGCCUCGGGGAAGAGAGGCGCCUCGUCCAAGGUUGCACCCCUCGUCCAAGCGCCAAUAUGGUGGCCUGGAUGCCCAGCAUGCUUGCCUCAGACCUCCUGCAAUAAUCUCCACUUUAGAGGGGACUUCCCAAGGUGCACACCCCGCAGCAGAGCACGAGGGGAAGCACGGAAAUAGGGUUGGAGGAGAGGGGGCCAGUCCGCACAUGUCAUGUUCGCUCAGACGCUGGCGAGGGUGGUGUUCUUCCCCUUCUCUUAGAGCAAAGGGACGACUCGGCAAGGUUUAAGCAAGCAGUUCUAUGCUCUUUUGCAAAGAUCCCUUUUGCUGUCAUGAGGACAAUAAAUUGUGAGGUCGAGGUUGACACGAGACCGGAAGCAUCGAGCCGCAAGCAGCCAGGCCAGGGAAGGAACCAGAGCUUCAGGUACUACACGUGAUCUUAGCCAAAAGGCCGAGAAGCAAUGGAACCGGAGCUUCAGCAGCAACCCGAGGCAACACCAGCAGACCCUGAAUCCGCUGCACCACAGCAGGAACUCUCCUAACAUCUCCAAGGCUGAAAAAGACUCAAGUUAAUUUCUCCCUCACUCUGUGAGGCCCACGCAGACUCUUCCCGCAGGACAGGCCCACGGAGAAUGAACUGCCUGUGACAAGGAAGAGGUCAGCGUCCUGAGCGGUGGCUGGAGGAAGGAGCCCUGGGCAAGGUUUCCGACUGACCAAAGGUCUACACCCAUGGGAUAUGGAAGUUCCUGGGCUAGAGACAGAAUUGGAGCUACAGCGGCCGGCCUACACCACAGCCACAGCAAUGCAGGAGCUGAGCUUCGUCUAUGACCUACACCACAGCUCAUGGCAACACUGAAUCCUUAACUCACUGAGCGAGGCCACGGAUUGAACAUGCAUCCUCAUGGAAGCUAGUCUGAUCUGUUUCUGCUGUGCCAUGACAGGGACUCCUCGUGCUCACAUCUUGAGGGACUUCACCGAUGAGCUGAGAGAAGGAGCCCUGAGAAGAAGCCAGAGGUCUUCAUCUUGAAAUACUGUCUGCAAACAGCCACAACAACAAGGUACCAAGUCGCACUGGAAAUCCCUUUGAAACAUCCAGAGACUGAGCGCUUGCCCGCAGCACCUGGAUGCAGGGCCUGACCCGUCACUCGCUUCAGGUGCGUUCACACAGAGCACCCCUCAAGCCACCUCAGGUUUGAACCUGCUUUUUAACAUGUGCGGAACGAAAGAGAACGGAUGUGUCCAGCUCUGACUGAAUCACUCUGUCGUACAGCAGCAAUGAUCACAACCUUGUAAGUCAAUGAAACCUCAAUAAAACUUAAAAAAUAAGAUAGGCGGACUGGAAUAGCUCCAGUGCCAUUCACAUCUACUGAUAAAGCAAGUGCCAUUCUGAUUAGACCCACAUCCAAUUUCGUCUCUUGGACUAUAGUAAUGAAACAAGAUGUAUUUUCACAGGAUGUUUCAGUAUGUCUUCAGUCCUAAUUAUCCACUUUCAAUUAAAAAACAAAAAGCCUCAGCACUGCAAUAUAUACCACCGAUCAUUACAUGCCUAUCACAGCUCAUAUCCGAGUCCCUCAGUGUAAAAGAUGGUUGACAUUUAGCCGGGAACUUUUAAAACACUUGAGGAUAAAUUAUGGCCCAAACUUACUCUUCUUAAUGACAUGUAUAAAGUUCAGCUCUUUAAUAAAAGGUUUCAGGAAUAGGAAAACAAAGUUUCCAGCAAUAUUCAGGAAAUAAAAGGUCUUUGAGAAUGGUCAGGUCUUGUUUCAAUGAAAUUGUGCAUUUUUAAUACAGUUGGUAUAGAGUGAAACUCUUAGAAAAACAUCGAGGAUUUGAAAAUGAAAUGGAACAUCCUAUUUGCAGGGUCACCAGUACCACAGCGAGAUUUGUCUCUUAAACAAUGACACUUCGUAUCUCUGUAGUUCCAUGAAUACUUUUGAAGUGUCAUAUUAAAACCCAUCUCGUGGCCUUGAGGCAAAGAGAAGCAAUUAGUCUUGGAGUUGUGAAUAAAUAAAAAUCCAUUUAUACACCCGUC
Molecule: non-coding RNA, 4185 nt
Organism: Sus scrofa (pig)
Lineage: Eukaryota; Metazoa; Chordata; Mammalia; Artiodactyla; Suidae
Source: RefSeq, a predicted model, not a curated record